UCAAAACAAAACACUAACCCCUCAGUGAAUACUAUUCUAGCAACCUUCUUUUCUACUCUACAUCUACCCUUUGUGUCACUAUACCCUCUAACAUGUAAGCUCACUGAGCAGGCCCUCAAUCCCUCUCUUACUGUGUCACUAUACCCCACUCCCUCUAACAUGUAAGCUCACUGAGCAGGGCCCUCAAUCCCUCUGUUACUGUGACACUAUACCCCACUCCCUCUAGCAUGUAAACUCACUGAGCAGGGCCCUCAAUCCCUCUCUUACUGUGUCACUAUACCCCACUCCCUCUAACAUGUAAACACACUGAGCAGGCCCUCAAUCCCUCUGUUACUGUGUCGCUAUACCACAUGUCCUCUAGCAUGUAAACUCACUGAGCAGGGCCCUCAAUCCCUCUGUU
Molecule: non-coding RNA, 400 nt
Organism: Pelobates cultripes (western spadefoot toad)
Lineage: Eukaryota; Metazoa; Chordata; Amphibia; Anura; Pelobatidae
Source: the annotation of a GenBank genome assembly